Molecule: transfer RNA, 71 nt
Filed under: Camelus dromedarius (Arabian camel)
Lineage: Eukaryota; Metazoa; Chordata; Mammalia; Artiodactyla; Camelidae
Also listed under: 1 other name
Rfam family: tRNA (bases 9-64)
About the family: Transfer RNA (tRNA) molecules are approximately 80 nucleotides in length.
Source: Rfam by way of RNAcentral
GAGGGCACAGCUCAGUGGUAGAGUGCAUGCCUAGCAUGCAUGAGGUCCUGGGUUCAAUCUCCAGGACCUCC